AUGGGGGACACUUUCAACGUCACAGAGCAUGUUCAGAAUGCCAAGAAGAAAGAAGAUAAAGAAAAUCCACAAGAGCAAGAAAAUCCACAGGCACAUCCCCUUCCACAAAGCCAAGAUGAAGAAAAUCCACAGGCACAUCCCCUUCCUCUCUGCCAUGAUGAAGAAAAUCCGCCGCUACAUAUCCUUGCACUCCUCCAAGACGAAGAAAAUCAGCAACCACAUCUCCUUGCACUCCUCCGACUCCACAAAACAAAAUCCGAUGCUGAACAGAGGUUCCCAAAUGAAAAGCCCAAACUCACCUCAAUCUCAGCAAUUUCUUCCAUGGAGCUUGAAGAAAUCAGCAUCGAGCUGGCAGCUUGCCACACACCAGCAACAUUCUCGGCGAUGGACUUGGUGAAAGGACGUCUCUUUGGCGAGCUCUCCCUGGCGCCUCUGUCCCUGAGCGACACAAGAGCAUCCUGCCUCGUCAACAUGGCGGCUUUUGAGGUAUGCACCGCCUCAAGUUAUGGGGAUGACCCUAACAAUCCUGGUCUCUUUGCAAUGUUCAUGGUUCAGAAGGAGGACGUGCACAAGCUGCGAUCAAAGGGCCUUCUGCAUGGGCCUCACAGUAACAAGGAGAUGCUCACCUUCUUCAAGAGUGUUAUGACGCACCUACCUGACAGCGGAUCCCGUUUCGCCCACCUCAUGGCAAAAAUUGAGGACUAUAAACACAAGAGGUACAUCUGGAUCAAAUUGUACAAAUGCAUCCACAACAACAAGAAGAUCAUCAUGGCGGUGGUGCCUAUCAUUGCUACUCUGAUUGGUCUCAUCAUUAAAAUCCUCCCUCUCUACGAGAAGAAUUGA
Molecule: ribosomal RNA, 843 nt
Filed under: Triticum aestivum (bread wheat)
Lineage: Eukaryota; Viridiplantae; Streptophyta; Magnoliopsida; Poales; Poaceae
Description: partial small subunit ribosomal RNA
Source: RNAcentral